Molecule: ribosomal RNA, 301 nt
Filed under: uncultured bacterium
Lineage: Bacteria
Description: partial 16S ribosomal RNA
Rfam family: Bacterial small subunit ribosomal RNA
Source: RNAcentral
CAGCCGCCACGGUAAUACAGAGGGUGCAAGCGUUAAUCGGAAUUACUGGGCGUAAAGCGCGCGUAGGUGGUUUGUUAAGUUGGAUGUGAAAUCCCCGGGCUCAACCUGGGAACUGCAUCCAAAACUGGCAAGCUAGAGUAUGGUAGAGGGUGGUGGAAUUUCCUGUGUAGCGGUGAAAUGCGUAGAUAUAGGAAGGAACACCAGUGGCGAAGGCGACCACCUGGACUGAUACUGACACUGAGGUGCGAAAGCGUGGGGAGCAAACAGGAUUAGAGACCCCAGUAGUCCCUGUCUCUUAUAC